This 856-nucleotide ribosomal RNA is filed under the name uncultured bacterium. RNAcentral describes it as "bacterial SSU rRNA". It matches the Rfam family "Bacterial small subunit ribosomal RNA", at positions 642 to 1498 of the family's 1533-position model. The record is from RNAcentral.
AGUUUGGUAGGGGAGACUGAAAUUCCGGUGGAGCGGUGGAAUGCGCAGAUAUCAGGAGGACCCCAAUGGCGAAAGGCAGGGUCUUCUGGGUUAAUACUGACAUUGAGGAGCGAAAGUUUGGGGAGCGAACAGGAUUAGAUACCCUGGUAGUCCAGACCGUUAAAGGGUGGGCACUAGUUGUGGGACCUUCCACGGUUUUUGCGAGGCAGCUAAACGCAUUUAAGUGCCCCGCCUGGGGGAGUACGAUCGCAAGAUUAAAACUCAAAGGAAUUGACGGGGCCCCGCACAAGCAGCGGAGCAUGCGGCUUAAUUCGACGCAACGCGAAGAACCUUACCAAGGCUUGACAUAUAGGGAAAAGUGGCAGAGAUGUCAUGUCCGCAAGGGCUCUAUACAGGUGGUGCAUGGUUGUCGUCAGCUCGUGUCGUGAGAUGUUGGGUUAGGUCCCGCAACGAGCGCAACCCUCGUUCUGUGUUGCCAGCAUUUAGUUGGGGGACUCACAGGAGACUGCCGGGGUUAACUCGGAGGAAGGUGGGGAUGACGUCAAAUCAUCAUGCCCCUUAUGUCUUGGGCUGCACGCAUGCUACAAUGGCCGGUACAGAGGGCUGCAAUACCGCAAGGUGGAGCGAAUCCCAAAAAGCCGGUCUCAGUUCGGAUUGAGGUCUGCAACUCGACCUCAUGAAGUUGGAGUUGCUAGUAAUCGUAGAUCAGCAUCGCUACGGUGAAUACGUUCCCGGGGCUUGUACACACCGCCCGUCACGUCACGAAAGUCGGUAACACCCAAAGUCAGUGGCCCAACCGCAAGGGGGGAGCUGCCUAAGGUGGGAUCGGUGAUUGGGACGAAGUCGUAACAAGGUA